Molecule: ribosomal RNA, 437 nt
Filed under: uncultured Leptonema sp.
Lineage: Bacteria; Pseudomonadati; Spirochaetota; Leptospiria; Leptospirales; Leptospiraceae
Description: bacterial SSU rRNA
Rfam family: Bacterial small subunit ribosomal RNA
Source: RNAcentral
AUGUGGUUAAUUCGAUGAUACGCGAAAACCUUACCCGGGCUUGACAUGCAUCAGACAGGCGUAGAGAUACGCCCUCCGCGAGGCUGGUGCACAGGUGCUGCAUGGUUGUCGUCAGCUCGUGUCGUGAGAUGUUGGGUUAAGUCCCGCAACGAGCGCAACCCCUACCGUGUGUUACCAUCAUUAAGUUGGGGACUCGCACGGAACUGCCGGUGAUAAGCCGGAGGAAGGUGGGGAUGAUGUCAAGUCAGCAUGGCCUUUAUAUCCUGGGCUACACACACGCUACAAUGGCCAACACAAUAGGUUGCUAAGCCGCGAGGUGGCGCCAAUCCAUAAAGUUGGUCUCAGUUCAGAUUGUAGGCUGCAACCCGCCUGCAUGAAGAUGGAGUUGCUAGUAACCGCAGGUCAGCUAUACUGCGGUGAAUACGUUCCCGGGGCUU